This is a non-coding RNA of Paramuricea clavata, 1036 nucleotides long. The record is from the annotation of a GenBank genome assembly. NCBI's taxonomy places the organism in Eukaryota, Metazoa, Cnidaria, Anthozoa, Malacalcyonacea, Plexauridae.
UUAAUUGGCGCGCAUGGAUUGAUCAAUGGAAACAAAAUUUUGAAGCAGAAAUCUUAGUCUUGGAGAGGUUAACUUGGAGAGAUUAACUCUAAUGCACAACCAAACCGUGGCGUGCGGACGUGUAUUUUGUGCCCUCUGAUAGUUUAUAUUUUAAAAUACUUUUUGAACAAUUUUGAAUGCACCAUUGGUACAAAUAUGCAAAUGAUAGAAAACUGAUGGAAUGUCAGGUUUUAUCGAGAAUAUAAGCCUUGCUUGGACAGGCGAUUUUGUUUCUCUUAAGCAAUUCUCGAGCGAAGUUCUCAAAUUAGAUGGCGAAUGGUCACAGCCUGGAGGGGACAAGAAGCUGCUUACGUUUGGUAAUUCAACUAUGGUGUGGCGAAAGAAUAAACAUGUAUUAACCAUUAAUGGUGAGAGAUCAGAGAAAAUCAAGAAACAGAUUUGCGAGGUAAUGCUUAAAGAUAACUUAACUUUGCCAACCCCGCCAUCGCAAGCCCAAUCAAGCAUGACGACCGAUGCACAUUUUGAUGAUAUUAAAACGGUCUCAAAGCAGGACAAAUGUUAAACUUCGAAAUAAUUCAAUCGCUUGCAGAGUCUGUUCAUGAUUUAGCGUCUGUAAUUUCUCGAGUGCAAGGAAAUGAAGUAAAGAAUAACAGUAAUUUUAGUAAAAACACAGAAAAAUCUGAUGUUAAGCAGUCUGAGUAUGCAAAUUUUGCUAAUACUAAAAGUUCCUUUGUCUUGGAAGAAUUGACGGAUUCGCCUAUGAACAAUAACAACAACAAUAACAAUGAUCGCAUUUCGCCAAUGAAAGAAAACGUUCCUUAAUCUAAUGAUAACGAUAUGUCCUACAGGGUGUAUAAAAAAAAGGAGACCUUUAGAAAUCAAGCAUAUUGUUAAAAUUUGAAUGCCUUUUCAAUUGCACAUAUGCUGUCCUGAACCGUGGUGCGUGAAAUAUUGAUGAGUGCAUAUAUUACAAAAAGGAGACCUUUAGAAAUCAACCAUUGUUAUAAUUUUAAUCCUGCAGCACUUUUCUAAGCCC